AAAGGUCUUUGUUGCUGUUGCUGCCAUGUUAAUGACCCAGCUUGGGGCGCUGCCGCCGCCGCCGGCCGCUUCUUCCAAAGAAAACAAAUCAAAGAUGUAGCAGUCUCUUGAGCACAGUGAGAUGGCUCACCAUACGGGGAGAAGCGGCAAGCUAUCAACUUUGGAUCUUUUCUGGAGACACUGAAAUUGGUUCCAAAUUCUAAAUUGUCUAAACUCUAAAUUCUUUUCGAGGUCAUACAAUGGAUUCAAAGUCUAUAUCCAUAAGAAAUACUGCAUCAAUCAGAGCACAUAACUAAAAAUUAUGUGUUAAAUGUGGUUAAAUUAAAUAAAGCUUUGAGCUUGAAUUAGGAAUGUGGGGGAAAAUGGAGAUUUGGAGAAGAAUUUCAGGCUUUUGUUUGCUGAAUCACUAGGGAGAAGCAACGUCACAUACGUUACAUUUCAGGUUUUCAGAAAACUGUGACGACUAUUGGAAUCAGAGAGCAAAGUUGGAAGUUAAACACAGUGAUAACUUCAUAUUCAUUUUCUAGUUCUCUUACCCACAUUUUCCACAUAUAACUUUUAUCCAACACAUUCCCUGUGUGGGAGAGAGUGAGCCCCAUCACGUUGAUCCCUGGACCAGGUGGGACUGGGCUAGUGGGGAAGGAGAUGGGGGAAGGGGUCUGGGGAGGAGUGGGUGUAGACAGGCGCCAGGAGAAGACUGUGGUUUUAGGGUAUUUGUUUGUUUGUUUAAUUAGUUGUUAGACUGGAUUUAGUUUCUCUCCCCAGAAAAGAUACAGAUUUGAGAUGAAUUUUAGAUGUUUUUAGAACAGAAAUUCUACUCAGUUGAAUUUCUGUUUUUGCCAUAGCCAUGCAAUCGAGCUGGAGGAAAUGAAAGCACAAGUAACUCCCACCAGAAUGAAAACCUUUUUGUUUCUUCCAUGUCACAGAGCCUUCAUUCUGUUUCUGAGGAAGAAAUAGUAUCCUGAAGGAUUCCAGAAAAGUUGGACAAUUAGACAAAUAUUUUUGCUCACACAGCAUGCCAUUUGGUACCAAAAUUACAUCCUCUUUGUAAAAAAAGGAACAAAAAACGUAACCCUUCUCCUGAGAUAGAAUUAUAAUUG
This 1100-nucleotide long non-coding RNA is filed under the name Homo sapiens (human). RNAcentral describes it as "non-protein coding lnc-PARP11-2:1". The record is from RNAcentral. Lineage: Eukaryota; Metazoa; Chordata; Mammalia; Primates; Hominidae.